Molecule: ribosomal RNA, 253 nt
Filed under: uncultured bacterium
Lineage: Bacteria
Description: partial 16S ribosomal RNA
Rfam family: Bacterial small subunit ribosomal RNA
Source: RNAcentral
UACGUAGGGGGCAAGCGUUGUCCGGAUUUACUGGGCGUAAAGCGCACGUAGGCGGAUUGUUAAGUCAGGGGUGAAAUCCUGGAGCUCAACUCCAGAACUGCCUUUGAUACUGGCAAUCUAGAGUCCGGAAGAGGUGAGUGGAACUCCUAGUGUAGAGGUGGAAUUCGUAGAUAUUAGGAAGAACACCAGUGGCGAAGGCGGCUCACUGGUCCGGUACUGACGCUGAGGUGCGAAAGCGUGGGGAGCAAACAGG